CAGCUCACCGGAUAAGAUAGCUGGAUGAUAGCCGGGCUGAAGACUCUGCUUGACUAGCUGAGAGGAGGUGCAUGGCCGUCGUCAGUUCGUACUGUGAAGCAUCCUGUUAAGUCAGGCAACGAGCGAGACCCACGCCAACAGUUGCCAGCAUGUCCUCCGGGAUGAUGGGGACACUGUUGGGACCGCCUCUGCUAAAGAGGAGGAAGGAAUGGGCAACGGUAGGUCAGCAUGCCCCGAAUUAUCCGGGCUACACGCGGGCUACAAUGAUCAGGACAAUGGGUAUCGACACCGAGAGGUGGAGGCAAUCUCCUAAACCUGUCCUUAGUUCGGAUUGUGGGCUGCAACUCGCCCACAUGAAGCUGGAAUCCGUAGUAAUCGCGUUUCAAAAUAGCGCGGUGAAUAUGUCCCUGCUCCUU
This 416-nucleotide ribosomal RNA is filed under the name uncultured Methanolinea sp. RNAcentral describes it as "bacterial SSU rRNA". It matches the Rfam family "Archaeal small subunit ribosomal RNA", at positions 922 to 1338 of the family's 1478-position model. The record is from RNAcentral. Lineage: Archaea; Methanobacteriati; Methanobacteriota; Methanomicrobia; Methanomicrobiales; Methanoregulaceae.